RNAcentral lists this ribosomal RNA (238 nucleotides) under uncultured bacterium. RNAcentral describes it as "partial 16S ribosomal RNA". It matches the Rfam family "Bacterial small subunit ribosomal RNA", at positions 100 to 334 of the family's 1533-position model. The record is from RNAcentral.
CGGAACGGGUGAGUAACGCGUGAGGAACCUGCCUCAAAGAGGGGGACAACAGUUGGAAACGACUGCUAAUACCGCAUAAGCCCACGGGUCGGCAUCGACCAGAGGGAAAAGGAGCAAUCCGCUUUGAGAUGGCCUCGCGUCCGAUUAGCUAGUUGGUGAGGUAACGGCCCACCAAGGCAACGAUCGGUAGCCGGACUGAGAGGUUGAACGGCCACAUUGGGACUGAGACACGGCCCAG